This 722-nucleotide ribosomal RNA is filed under the name uncultured archaeon S30-25. RNAcentral describes it as "bacterial SSU rRNA". It matches the Rfam family "Archaeal small subunit ribosomal RNA", at positions 123 to 844 of the family's 1478-position model. The record is from RNAcentral.
GGCAUAACCCCGGGAAACUGGGGAUAAUUCCUGAUAACGCACAUAUGCUGGAAUGCUUUAUGCGUAAAAUGGAUUCGUCUGCCCAAGGAUGGGUCUGCGGCCUAUCAGGUAGUAGUGGGUGUAAUGUACCUACUAGCCAACAACGGGUACGGGUUGUGAGAGCAAGAGCCCGGAGAUGGAUUCUGAGACAUGAAUCCAGGCCCUACGGGGCGCAGCAGGCGCGAAAACUUUACAAUGCGGGAAACCGUGAUAAGGGGACACCGAGUGCCAGCAUCAUAUGCUGGCUGUCCAGGUGUGUAAACUACACCUGUUAGCAAGGGCCGGGCAAGACCGGUGCCAGCCGCCGCGGUAACACCGGCGGCCCGAGUGGUGAUCGUGAUUAUUGGGUCUAAAGGGUCCGUAGCCGGUUUGGUCAGUCCUCCGGGAAAUCUGAUAGCUCAACUAUUAGGCUUUCGGGGGAUACUGCCAGGCUUGGAACCGGGAGAGGUAAGAGGUACUACAGGGGUAGGAGUGAAAUCUUGUAAUCCCUGUGGGACCACCUGUGGCGAAGGCGUCUUACCAGAACGGGUUCGACGGUGAGGGACGAAAGCUGGGGGCACGAACCGGAUUAGAUACCCGGGUAGUCCCAGCCGUAAACGAUGCUCGCUAGGUGUCAGGCAUGGCGCGACCGUGUCUGGUGCCGCAGGGAAGCCGUGAAGCGAGCCACCUGGAAGUACGGCCGC